RNAcentral lists this ribosomal RNA (391 nucleotides) under uncultured bacterium. RNAcentral describes it as "bacterial SSU rRNA". It matches the Rfam family "Bacterial small subunit ribosomal RNA", at positions 28 to 420 of the family's 1533-position model. The record is from RNAcentral.
GACGAACGCUGGCGGCGUGCUUAACACAUGCAAGUCGAACGAGGCUCCUUCUUCGGUUGGGGUUCUAGUGGCGAACGGGUGAGUAACACGUGGGCAACCUGCCCCUGGCUCUGGGAUAACUCCAAGAAAUUGGGGCUAAUACCGGAUAUGACCGCUGAUCGCAUGGUCUGGUGGUGGAAAGAUUUAUCGGCUGGGGAUGGGCCCGCGGCCUAUCAGCUUGUUGGUGGGGUAGUGGCCUACCAAGGCGACGACGGGUAGCCGGCCUGAGAGGGUGACCGGCCACACUGGGACUGAGACACGGCCCAGACUCCUACGGGAGGCAGCAGUGGGGAAUAUUGCGCAAUGGGCGAAAGCCUGACGCAGCGACGCCGCGUGGGGAUGACGGCCUCGG